UACGGGGGGGAGCAAGCGUUGUUCGGAUUUACUGGGCGUAAAGGGCGCGUAGGCGGCCACCGCAAGUCGACUGUGAAAUCUCCGGGCUUAACCCGGAAAGGUCAGCCGAUACUGCGGGGCUAGAGUGCAGAAGGGGCAACUGGAAUUCUCGGUGUAGCGGUGAAAUGCGUAGAUAUCGAGAGGAACACCUGCGGCGAAGGCGGGUUGCUGGGCUGACACUGACGCUGAUGCGCGAAAGCUAGGGGAGCGAACAGG
Molecule: ribosomal RNA, 255 nt
Filed under: uncultured bacterium
Lineage: Bacteria
Description: partial 16S ribosomal RNA
Rfam family: Bacterial small subunit ribosomal RNA
Source: RNAcentral